Molecule: transfer RNA, 69 nt
Filed under: Megophrys carinense (Burmese horned frog)
Lineage: Eukaryota; Metazoa; Chordata; Amphibia; Anura; Megophryidae
Description: tRNA-Ser
Source: RNAcentral
GAACCCGUGAAGGAUCAACAAGACACUGCUAAUGACUUGUCACCAAAGUUCAACUCUUUGGCAGGUUCG